RNAcentral lists this ribosomal RNA (473 nucleotides) under uncultured bacterium. Its description in RNAcentral is "bacterial SSU rRNA". It matches the Rfam family "Bacterial small subunit ribosomal RNA", at positions 355 to 825 of the family's 1533-position model. The record is from RNAcentral.
UGGGGAAUCUUGCGCAAUGGGCGAAAGCCUGACGCAGCGACACCGCGUGAGUGAGGAAGGUCUUCGGAUUGUAAAGCUCUGUCGGCAGGAAAGAUGGAACAGGUGGUUAAUACCCAUUUGUUUUGACGGUACCUGCAAAGGAAGCACCGGCUAACUCUGUGCCAGCAGCCGCGGUAAUACAGAGGGUGCAAGCGUUGUUCGGAUUUACUGGGCGUAAAGGGCGCGUAGGCGGCAAUUCAAGUCAUCUGUGAAAUCUCCGGGCUUAACUCGGAACGGUCAGAUGAUACUGCUUUGCUAGAGUGCAGAAGGGGCAAUCGGAAUUCUUGGUGUAGCGGUGAAAUGCGUAGAUAUCAAGAGGAACACCUGAGGUGAAGACGGGUUGCUGGGCUGACACUGACGCUGAGGCGCGAAAGCUAGGGUAGCAAACGGGAUUAGAUACCCAAGUAGUCCCUGAGCGGGCUGGCAAGGCGCAU